RNAcentral lists this ribosomal RNA (497 nucleotides) under uncultured bacterium. Its description in RNAcentral is "partial 16S ribosomal RNA". It matches the Rfam family "Bacterial small subunit ribosomal RNA", at positions 28 to 507 of the family's 1533-position model. The record is from RNAcentral.
GAUGAACGCUGGCGGCGUGCCUAAUACAUGCAAGUCGAGCGAACGGACGAGAAGCUUGCUUCUCUGAUGUUAGCGGCGGACGGGUGGGUAACACGUGGAUAACCUACCUAUAAGACUGGGAUAACUUCGGGAAACCGUAGCUAAUACCGGAUAAUCUUUUGAACCGCAUGGUUCAAAAGUGAAAGACGGUCUUGCUGUCACUUAUAGAUGGAUCCGCGCUGCAUUAGCUAGUUGGUAAGGUAACGGCUUACCAAGGCAACGAUGCAUAGCCGACCUGAGAGGGUGAGCGGCCACGCGGGAACUGAGACACGGUCCAGACUCCUACGGGAGGCCGCAGUAGGGAAUCUUGCACAAUGGGCGAAAGCCUGACGGAGCAACGCCGCGUGAGUGAUGAAGGUCUUCGGAUCGAAAAACUCUGUUAUUAGGGAAGAACAUUUGUGUAAGUAACUGUGCACAUCGUGACGGUACCUAAUCAGAAAGCCACGGCUAACUACGUG